Molecule: long non-coding RNA, 1303 nt
Filed under: Pseudonaja textilis
Lineage: Eukaryota; Metazoa; Chordata; Lepidosauria; Squamata; Elapidae
Description: lncRNA (ENSPTXG00000011848.1)
Source: RNAcentral
GGCUUCUGCCUACAAUAAUCAAAGUAUGCCAACUCUGGGCUUGAGGCUGCAGGGAUAAUAAAACUACAUCUCCCAGAAUGCUUCUCUCCGUCCUCCACAUCUGCUUCCUCCUUUCCUUUUGACAAAGCCAUUUCUGACGCAGAGUAGAGAGCUUUUCAGGCUGACCGCCGCCUAUUCAAGAAGAUGGUGUGACUCGUAAUUGGUGGUAGGUGAAGAGUUUCAAAAGAAAAAAAGGGGGCCAGCACUUGCUUUCUGGGGUGGGUGGGUGGGAGGAGCAGGGGACCCUGACAGGUGAGAAGAGAAAGCUGGCAAGGAAUGGGCUUAACCUAAACAGCAUUUGGAAAUCAAACUCCCAAAUUAACUACACAGUAAUGUUCCGGUUAGUCCAGAUCUUGGAGGACAUUCCUGAUUUUUUCCUCCCUCUUUCCAAUUUAGCCUGCCGUUAUGUGGCUAGGAAAAUAGCAUCGGCCCUGCGCGCUGAGGAUGUGGAAGAGACCAUGCUGGCUUGCAAGAACCGGACAACUCUAACUGGUAUCUCAAAAAAGCCAGCAGGGUCUGAAUCCAUUCCUCGCUCAGUCAGCGAAAAAUAUCCUCAUGCGGUUAGGUCCGAAGUCAGAACCCGGGAACCAAACUCCUGAUGAAAUAAAAUAAAAAGGACAGCGGAGCGGGAAAAUGACGGCUUGUUUGACGAAAUCCUGCAGCUGCAGGAAGUGAACAGUCCUGAGAAUCCCUUAUUCUGCCCGUCUUUCGUUGUUCCGCUAUGAAAAUAAAUUUAAAUAAAGAAGCGUUUCAUGCAUUUUUUUUAAAAAAAGAGUGAGUGUUUAACAAAAGAUGAUUUGGCCGCUAAUGAGGGGAGUGAUUUUGCAAUGUAGAAUUCAGAUUAAUUUAUUUUUUUUUGACAAUAUUACAGAGCGAUCUGAGAUUGGUAGUUUCAGAGAUAGGUUUUGGCAAAUUGAAGCAAUGGAAUGGAAACACAAUACACUACCUCAGUUUCCCUCCCUCAGAAGAUUUAAAAAGUUAUUAGGGUUCUUGCAAAAAAAGAAUUAAAAGUUUAAAAGAUCUAUUUUCUUAUUUAAUAAAGCUCGAGAUUUACCAAGCAGGCUUGAUGAAAAAUAGAGGCGGACUGACAUAUACUAAAGAUUCUUAAAGUUUUCAUAUUAAUUUUUGUUUUAAAGGUUUUAAAUGCUAUUACAAUGAAUUUAAUGUACAUUAUAGCAUAGAUUUAUGCUAUUUUUGUUAUUUAUUUUACUUAUUUAAUAACCUCUUUUUUAUUAAUAACAUAUUGUUCUUUUUUACAUAUACA